UACGGAGGGUGCGAGCGUUACUCGGAAUUACUGGGCGUAAAGCGUGCGUAGGUGGUUGUUUAAGUCUGUUGUGAAAGCCCUGGGCUCAACCUGGGAACUGCAGUGGAAACUGGAUGACUAGAGUGUGGUAGAGGGUAGCGGAAUUCCCGGUGUAGCAGUGAAAUGCGUAGAGAUCGGGAGGAACAUCCAUGGCGAAGGCAGCUACCUGGACCAACACUGACACUGAGGCACGAAAGCGUGGGGAGCAAACAGG
This 253-nucleotide ribosomal RNA is filed under the name uncultured microorganism. RNAcentral describes it as "partial 16S ribosomal RNA". It matches the Rfam family "Bacterial small subunit ribosomal RNA", at positions 524 to 776 of the family's 1533-position model. The record is from RNAcentral.